Molecule: ribosomal RNA, 433 nt
Filed under: uncultured bacterium
Lineage: Bacteria
Description: partial 16S ribosomal RNA
Rfam family: Bacterial small subunit ribosomal RNA
Source: RNAcentral
CUCUCCCUCUUUCUUCCGGCUUAACACAUGCAAGUCGAGCGGGCCCUUCGGGGUCAGCGGCGGACGGGUGAGUAACGCGUGGGAACGUGCCUUCUGGUCUGGAAUAACCCUGGGAAACUAGGGCUAAUACCGGAUACGCCCUUUUGGGGAAAGGUUUACUGCCGGAAGAUCGGCCCGCGUCUGAUUAGCUAGUUGGUGGGGUAACGGCCUACCAAGGCGACGAUCAGUAGCUGGUCUGAGAGGAUGAUCAGCCACACUGGGACUGAGACACGGCCCAGACUCCUACGGGAGGCAGCAGUGGGGAAUAUUGGACAAUGGGCGCAAGCCUGAUCCAGCCAUGCCGCGUGAGUGAUGAAGGCCUUAGGGUUGUAAAGCUCUUUUAUCCGGGACGAUAAUGACGGUACCGGAGGAAUAAGCCCCGGCUAACUUCGUG